ACGAACGCUGGCGGCGUGCUUAACACAUGCAAGUCGAACGGAAAGGCCCUGCUUUUGUGGGGUGCUCGAGUGGCGAACGGGUGAGUAACACGCGAGUAACCUGCCCUUGACUUUGGGAUAACUUCAGGAAACUGGGGCUAAUACCGGAUAGGAGCUCCUGCUGCAUGGUGGGGGUUGGAAAGUUUCGGCGGUUGGGGAUGGACUCGCGGCUUAUCAGCUUGUUGGUGGGGUAGUGGCUUACCAAGGCUUUGACGGGUAGCCGGCCUGAGAGGGUGACCGGCCACAUUGGGACUGAGAUACGGCCCAGACUCCUACGGGAGGCAGCAGUGGGGAAUAUUGCACAAUGGGCGGAAGCCUGAUGCAGCAACGCCGCGUGCGGGAUGACGGCCUUCGGGUUGUAAACCGCUUUCGCCUGUGACGAAGUGUGAGUGACGGUAAUGGGUAAAGAAGCACCGGCUAACUACGUG
Molecule: ribosomal RNA, 467 nt
Filed under: uncultured bacterium
Lineage: Bacteria
Description: partial 16S ribosomal RNA
Rfam family: Bacterial small subunit ribosomal RNA
Source: RNAcentral